ACGGUGCUGUGGAGCGCACCCAGGGAGCGGUGGGCGCCCAGCCCGGAGUGCUGGGGCCGCCCCCAGCAGUGUCCCUGUGCUCGGAGCCGCCAGGUCUGAGCGUCUCCCCUCAGUCCUGACGUUGCUUUUCUUCUUUUCCGAUCAGUCAGAGAGAAUUCUACCCCCUCACCCCCGCCCCGUAGUCUGCGAGGGCAGGGUAUGGGCUUUCUGAAAAGGUAACUGUUGUAGAACUGCUCUGCAUCUAUCCGGAUAAAUCUGGGGCAAUGAUGGUCCUCGAUGACGGCUGGAGAGUGAAAUAAGGGCGAACAUUCUGUGUUGUUACUUGAACUAAGACAGAACAAGAAAAGUUGAGCCCUGUGAAAUGCUGUUUGCAGUUUGUCUUGAAACCUACAGAAAAAGGCAUGUAAUUCAGUGUCCUGGACAUAAGCAGGUAGAAUGAAAGAUGGAAGAAUUUUCACUUUUCUGGCCUUUUCCUGAUGACAGUGGCUUUGACUGGGGGCCCUGAUCUCCCGAAUACUGAUUAUCUUACGUUCCUCAGUUCUGAAAACCUUCAAGCACAGAGUCAGGUAUCCUGCCAGCAGCUCUGCAGCAGUCAAUGCUUUUGCAAUACUGGGCUCUGCUCAUUUCAAAACUGUGAAGCAAUCCAGCUUAGCAGUCAGCAGAGUGUAAAACUGAAUAGUAGGAAGCAUUGGAGAGCACCUACUCCAGUUUCAAGCAGAAGAAAACCUUAAAACUUCAAGGAUCAGAAUGCUGGGGCAUCUCCACUGACAGGAAAUCUAACAGGCAGAGAUGGGAAAAAAAUUAGGAGAUGAAUACACGAGAAGAGUUCUGCUGUAUGCUGCAAAUUUCCCACUGUGGUACCAGACAGCCCUUGUUGAUCAUGCCUGAAGAACAUAUUCUUUCCCUGAAUAUGAAACAUGGCAACCCACUGUACUAGGGCUCAGGAUUGAUAUUGCUGUCCUGCAGGGAUAAUUGGGAAUUUACCAAACCAGAGCAACAGAUGCCUUGAGAGACGCAAGUAUCUUUCAGGAGGUACCUUAUCAUGUAUCUGUCAUAAAGCCAAAGUAGGAGCAACUGUUCAUUCUAAGGAAAUGCAAGGAAAAGAAUUGCUCCACCUUGCAGGUACAAAACAAAAUGCCAUGUUCCUCACAGCAGCCAGAGUUGGCAUGGAUAAACAGCUCUCCCAGAGGGACCUGCUUCCCUGGGGGAAGAUGCUGCCCAGGACAGUAACGUUUCUGCUACUAGAGCUGAGGGGAAAGGCCAUACUUGGCACCUGAUGUUAGGUCAGAAUUGGAGCUGGAACUUUGAAUACAAUUUUUUUCCCCCAAAAAUGGUCCUGUACUCUACUCUCUCAGCCUUGUCCUCAGCUAACGUGUUGCAGUAUUGCUUAGGGGUGAGCUGUGCUGAUGCCAGUGCUGUACUCUUGCUGGUUUGGAGCAUGGGGUCUGCCUGGCCAGGUCCGGGAGGAGCUGAGAAGAUGGACUGGCUUGCAGUGCUGUUUGAAAGCUGCACAGACCUCUUUCCUAGCAGAAUGUUUAAUGGAAUCUGCUUCCUUGAAACCAAAAUGAGGCAACAGCUGUGAUUGCAGCAAGCUGUAACAUCUUAUUACUGGAUGGAGGCACAUCCUGUUACAAGUGGUGCUGCUGCAAAACCUCAGCAAAAGAACCUACUGAGACCUGCCCGGCUGGGGGCUCUGAAUUCCCCUGAGGCCUCAAGAAGAAGCUUGGAAUGUGGUGCCAGCACACCAGCAGACAGUGAGAGAAACCGAGGGAAGCACCUCCAAGAUAAGUAAUAAAUGAUAAUUGUUAUUUCCUAUUAUUCAUCUGAAUCUCUACUCCUGAGAAGUGGAGUUAAAUCCUAAAUUUUACUUUAUUUUUAAGCAGAUCAUCCAGCAAGUUAAAAAACAGCAACACAAGGAGGUCCUAAGAUAGGGUUUGCUCCAAUUUUCCUGCUGAGCAUCUGUUUAGGAAUUGCUGCUAAAAAAAGUCAGAGGGGAUGGUAGUUGCUGUGCUGUCACAUGGGCUGAUACAGUGCAGAAUCUGCUUAGCAUUCUUGAAGGGAAAUUAUCCAGUGCUGUAACUCACAAUUUAUAAUUGGUUGCAUAUUAAUAUCUAAAAAAGGCAAUAAAAUCCACUGUGUGUUUAAAAAAAAUAGUAAGUAGGAGUAUUACAAGCUGAGCAGUGAAAAUCUGGAAGACUUCUUGGCUAGAGCAAGGCUGUGUGCAGUGCUAUUUCUCCCUUAAUUACAAGCAAUUUUAAAUCAUCUCCUUCCUUCAAAGAAGGAUUUUGUUCAGGGUGUGUGUUAAUUUUAAUCUUGCUAACGUGAUACUCUCUUGGAACCUCUCCCUUGUGUCAUAACAGUGAGAUGUGCUGCCUCUUUUGUCCCUGCCCUUUGGGAAAUGCAGUUACUGCUGCUCGUUGCCUCAACCCUGCCAUCGUGACUGUCAGUGUACCUCCCUUGAAAGGAGAAGAAAACAAAACCCAACAGCAGCAUUGCUUUUCCCCCCCCCAGAGGUUCACUUUUGUUUGUACUAUUUAAGCUAGACUGUGCAAGUACUUCAUGAAAAUCAGGGAUUUAAAAUGUAUGGUGCUGUAUUAUGCUGUAUUAUAGCGGAAAGCUUGUUAUUCAGCACACUAAUUAUUUCUGAGUCACUAUAUUUAUGAAAUGGCAUGUAAUAACUACUUCACCAGCACGCAAAGUAAAUAGUAUAAAAGCAAGCAUUUUAUGAUUUUGACAUUUUAGUGUAUAAACAUAUUCCUGGAUCUCCUGAGGGGCUACUGGAAAUCAGAUAAUGUUUUUAUGACUUUUAAAAAAUGACAUUGAAUUUCACAGUCUGUAACGCUCCAUAUAUAUGGUUAAUGUUGCAUAUUUUAUUACAGCCUCAGUGGCUUAUGUUACAAGUGUCAGCUGCAAAGAGAAAAUGUACAAAGGCGGGUCUGUGGAACUGUGGGGGAAACAAUAUUGUAGAACCUUGCAAUGCACACAUCAAAGCCCUUGGACAAGCUGUAAUGGCAGGUCCUGGGCCAUGCUGGGACACCAGAAUUCACCCUCUGCUUUUUUUCGUGUCAGGAUGGAUUACAAAGCCCUCACUGAAGGAGGGUUUCUGCCCACACUUGUCACUAGAGGAUAAGUAAGUUUGGUUUUUUGUCAAGCCCUGUGUGAAUGACCUGUUAACUCCAGAGGAACUGGGACGCCUUGAGUGACACUCUGUGACCUGGACUGCACUGACUUCUGCAUUUCAGGAAUGUGACUCCUGUCCUUGACCUCGUCUGCAGAUAAAUACAACAUGCCCCUUAGUGCUGAGUGGUUUGGGAAGAAUUUCAGCCAGACAAGAGAGGGGAGAUAAUGGAAAGACAGGCUAUGACAGGAACUGGGCUGUCUGAUUCUGCAAUGUGGGAAUCGCCUUUUCUCAGCUGCCAGUGUCAAAGUCAAGCUUGCAUUGCACAAAUAAAAUGGGGUAUUCCACACACACACCUGCACCCUUUCAAUUGUCACUGAUAUUUAUCAGAGGGAAUAUUCAAAACAUUAUUCCCUCCAAUACAGAAUGGCUGUUGGGUGUUAUCAGAUCACGUAAAAAGACAUCUGAGUGGAGUUUUUCCAGCAACAAACAAGAAACAAAGGGAGGAUUAAAAAAAUGUUUUGCUACGUAUACUGUUAUGAUUUUUUUUUCUGAAUGUAUAUAUAUGUAAAUUAAUGUUGGGAUGUGAAGAAACAAAGAAAAAGAGCAGGCAAGUUUGCUACCAUAAUAUGUAGCAUGACUUG
Long non-coding RNA from Corapipo altera (White-ruffed manakin), 3762 nucleotides. RefSeq lists it as uncharacterized. The record is from RefSeq and is a predicted model, not a curated record. The transcript is spliced from 13 exons. NCBI's taxonomy places the organism in Eukaryota, Metazoa, Chordata, Aves, Passeriformes, Pipridae.